CCCUUCGUGGCGUAGUUGGUUAUUACAUCAGUCUAACACACUAGUGGUCUCCGGUUUGAACCCGGCCGAAAUCA
Molecule: non-coding RNA, 74 nt
Organism: Tuber brumale (winter truffle)
Lineage: Eukaryota; Fungi; Ascomycota; Pezizomycetes; Pezizales; Tuberaceae
Source: the annotation of a GenBank genome assembly